RNAcentral lists this non-coding RNA (634 nucleotides) under Pongo abelii (Sumatran orangutan). The record is from RNAcentral. Lineage: Eukaryota; Metazoa; Chordata; Mammalia; Primates; Hominidae.
CUUUGUUUCAGGUAGUACACAGUCAUGAAAUUGAGUAAGUCUCUUAAAAAAAUGGAAGUCCACAGAUCCCACUGUGGAAGGUGCGGUGGCACGUGCCUGUAGUCUCAGCUACUCAGGAGGCUUAGACAAGAGAAUCACUUGAACCCAGGAGGCAGAAGUUAAAGUGAGCCGAGACUGCGCCACUGCACUCCAGCCUGGCUGACAGAGUGAGACCCCAUCUCAAAAAACAAAAACAAAAGAAGGGCAUAUUGACCAUCUUUGGUUUUGGUGUGUAUAAAUAAAAUAAAGGCAGCCACACCAAUCUGUGAUGUGAGGCGGCCAGCAGCUACAGGACAAGGCACAGCUGAAAUACAGAGGCAAGGCUGUUUGUCUUAAUAGUUCACUAUACAGUUUGUUUAUACAUAUAUAUGGAGAGAGAGAGAGAGAGAGAGAGAGAGGUCCACUGAAGACUAGGAUGCUACUAUCAAGACAGAAACAGGUGGUUAUAAACUACAACGUGCUAAGAUGAGAAUAAAGGAUCAAAGAGGAAAGGCUUGAGAGAAUCUAUAUGAAGCUUUCACAACAAAAGUUAAAGUGACUUCAAUGUGAGGGCAAGAAAAUAUUUCAAGGCUCAGAGAGGCUAAAAUAAUCGAAG